CCUACGGGUGGCAGCAGUGGGGAAUAUUGGACAAUGGGCGAAAGCCUGAUCCAGCCAUGCCGCGUGUGUGAAGAAGGCCUUCGGGUUGUAAAGCACUUUCAGUGGGGAAGAAAGCCUUGGGGCUAAUACCCUCGAGGAAGGACAUCACCCACAGAAGAAGCACCGGCUAACUCCGUGCCAGCAGCCGCGGUAAUACGGAGGGUGCGAGCGUUAAUCGGAAUUACUGGGCGUAAAGCGCGCGUAGGCGGUCUGAUAAGCCGGUUGUGAAAGCCCCGGGCUCAACCUGGGAACGGCAUCCGGACUGUCAGGCUAGAGUGCAGGAGAGGAAGGUAGAAUUCCCGGUGUAGCGGUGAAAUGCGUAGAGAUCGGGAGGAAUACCAGUGGCGAAGGCGGCCUUCUGGACUGACACUGACGCUGAGGUGCGAAAGCGUGGGUAGCAAACAGGAUUAGAUACCCCAGUAGUC
RNAcentral lists this ribosomal RNA (464 nucleotides) under Vreelandella stevensii. Its description in RNAcentral is "partial 16S ribosomal RNA". It matches the Rfam family "Bacterial small subunit ribosomal RNA", at positions 338 to 795 of the family's 1533-position model. Lineage: Bacteria; Pseudomonadati; Pseudomonadota; Gammaproteobacteria; Oceanospirillales; Halomonadaceae. The record is from RNAcentral.